GCACCUUCGGUCAGCAAUGAUCGUAGCAAACCCGUCUAAACGGUGAAACUCUAUUCAAUAGACAAUACCGUGCUAAACCGCACCUUGCGGAAAUGCCGAACGACUAUCGAAACCACGCAUACGCGUAAGGGAGUAGAGUACAUCGCAAGCAUAUGGCGAUGGAAACGGCGGGCGACCUUAUAGGUCGAUGAUAUAGUCUAUUCUUACGAGUGAUCGUAAG
This 220-nucleotide non-coding RNA is filed under the name Bacillus velezensis UCMB5033. Its description in RNAcentral is "Intron_gpI". It matches the Rfam family "Group I catalytic intron". From Rfam's summary of the family: Group I catalytic introns are large self-splicing ribozymes. They catalyse their own excision from mRNA, tRNA and rRNA precursors in a wide range of organisms. Lineage: Bacteria; Bacillati; Bacillota; Bacilli; Caryophanales; Bacillaceae. The record is from RNAcentral.